Molecule: ribosomal RNA, 451 nt
Filed under: uncultured organism
Description: partial 16S ribosomal RNA
Rfam family: Bacterial small subunit ribosomal RNA
Source: RNAcentral
CACUCCUACGGGAGGCAGCAGUGGGGAAUCUUGCGCAAUGGGCGAAAGCCUGACGCAGCCAUGCCGCGUGAAUGAUGAAGGUCUUAGGAUUGUAAAAUUCUUUCACCGGGGACGAUAAUGACGGUACCCGGAGAAGAAGCCCCGGCUAACUUCGUGCCAGCAGCCGCGGUAAUACGAAGGGGGCUAGCGUUGCUCGGAAUUACUGGGCGUAAAGGGAGCGUAGGCGGACAUUUAAGUCAGGGGUGAAAUCCCGGGGCUCAACCUCGGAAUUGCCUUUGAUACUGGGUGUCUUGAGUAUGAGAGAGGUGUGUGGAACUCCGAGUGUAGAGGUGAAAUUCGUAGAUAUUCGGAAGAACACCAGUGGCGAAGGCGACACACUGGCUCAUUACUGACGCUGAGGCUCGAAAGCGUGGGGAGCAAACAGGAUUAGAAACCCCUGUAGUCCCAUGAU